UACGUUCCCGGACCUUGCACACACCGCCCGUCAAGCCAUGGAAGCUGGGUGUACCUAAAGUCGAUAACCGAAAGGAGUCGCCUAGGGUAAAACUAGCAACUGGGGCU
This 107-nucleotide ribosomal RNA is filed under the name uncultured bacterium. RNAcentral's name for it is "partial 16S ribosomal RNA". It matches the Rfam family "Bacterial small subunit ribosomal RNA", at positions 1367 to 1482 of the family's 1533-position model. The record is from RNAcentral.